RNAcentral lists this ribosomal RNA (491 nucleotides) under uncultured bacterium. RNAcentral's name for it is "partial 16S ribosomal RNA". It matches the Rfam family "Bacterial small subunit ribosomal RNA", at positions 29 to 506 of the family's 1533-position model. The record is from RNAcentral.
AGUUAACGCUGGCGGUAGGCCUAACACAUGCAAGUCGAACGGCAGCACAGUAAGAGCUUGCUCUUACGGGUGGCGAGUGGCGGACGGGUGAGGAAUACAUCGGAAUCUACUUUUUCGUGGGGGAUAACGUAGGGAAACUUACGCUAAUACCGCAUACGACCUACGGGUGAAAGCAGGGGAUCUUCGGACCUUGCGCGAUUGAAUGAGCCGAUGUCGGAUUAGCUAGUUGGCGGGGUAAAGGCCCACCAAGGCGACGAUCCGUAGCUGGUCUGAGAGGAUGAUCAGCCACACUGGAACUGAGACACGGUCCAGACUCCUACGGGAGGCAGCAGUGGGGAAUAUUGGACAAUGGGCGCAAGCCUGAUCCAGCCAUACCGCGUGGGUGAAGAAGGCCUUCGGGUUGUAAAGCCCUUUUGUUGGGAAAGAAAAGCAGCAGGUUAAUACCCCGCUGUUCUGACGGUACCCAAAGAAUAAGCACCGGCUAACUUCGU